CCUACGGGUGGCUGCAGUAGGGAAUCUUCGGCAAUGGGCGAAAGCCUGACCGAGCAACGCCGCGUGAAUGAUGAAGGCCUUCGGGUUGUAAAAUUCUGUUAUAAGGGAAGAACGACUUUAGUAGGAAAUGGCUAGAGUGUGACGGUACCUUAUGAGAAAGCCACGGCUAACUACGUGCCAGCAGCCGCGGUAAUACGUAGGUGGCGAGCGUUAUCCGGAAUUAUUGGGCGUAAAGAGCGCGCAGGUGGUUGAUUAAGUCUGAUGUGAAAGCCCACGGCUUAACCGUGGAGGGUCAUUGGAAACUGGUCGACUUGAGUGCAGAAGAGGGAAGUGGAAUUCCAUGUGUAGCGGUGAAAUGCGUAGAGAUAUGGAGGAACACCAGUGGCGAAGGCGGCUUCCUGGUCUGUAACUGACACUGAGGCGCGAAAGCGUGGGGAGCAAACAGGAUUAGAUACCCGAGUAGUC
RNAcentral lists this ribosomal RNA (465 nucleotides) under uncultured Turicibacter sp. RNAcentral describes it as "bacterial SSU rRNA". It matches the Rfam family "Bacterial small subunit ribosomal RNA", at positions 338 to 795 of the family's 1533-position model. The record is from RNAcentral. Lineage: Bacteria; Bacillati; Bacillota; Erysipelotrichia; Erysipelotrichales; Turicibacteraceae.